This 649-nucleotide ribosomal RNA is filed under the name uncultured bacterium. Its description in RNAcentral is "bacterial SSU rRNA". It matches the Rfam family "Bacterial small subunit ribosomal RNA", at positions 43 to 685 of the family's 1533-position model. The record is from RNAcentral.
CAGGCCUAACACAUGCAAGUCGAACGGUAACAGGAAAAGCUUGCUUUUCGCUGACGAGUGGCGCACGGGUGCGUAACGCGUAUGCAACUUGCCUUCUACAGGGGGAUAGCCCAUGGAAACGUGGAUUAAAACCGCAUAAUACUAAUGGAUCGCAUGGUUUAUUAGUUAAAGCUUCGGUGGUAGAAGAUGGGCAUGCGUAGGAUUAGCUAGUUGGUAGUGUAAUGGACUACCAAGGCAACGAUCCUUAGGGGUUCUGAGAGGAUGAUCCCCCACACUGGUACUGAGACACGGACCAGACUCCUACGGGAGGCAGCAGUGAGGAAUAUUGGUCAAUGGGCGAGGGCCUGAACCAGCCAUGCCGCGUGCAGGAAGACGGCCCUAUGGGUUGUAAACUGCUUUUAUACAGGAAUAAAUGUGGAUACGUGUAUCCAUUUGAAUGUACUGUACGAAUAAGGACCGGCUAACUCCGUGCCAGCAGCCGCGGUAAUACGGAGGGUCCAAGCGUUAUCCGGAAUUAUUGGGUUUAAAGGGUCCGCAGGCGGGUUUUUAAGUCAGUGGUGAAAUCUUGCAGCUUAACUGUAAAACUGCCAUUGAUACUGAGAAUCUUGAGUUUGCGUGCUGUGGGCGGAAUGAGGCAUGUAGCGGUGAA